CAGCCUGAUAUCCUGCUGGCUCCCUGUAUCCUCUGCCAAUCCCCAGACAGCCUUGGAUUGAGAUUUUGUUACUGGACUCCCACCUUCCAAGGGUUUCCACAGGACAUUGUUUCUGAUCGAGGAGUCCAAUUCAUCUCCGGCUUCUGGAGGGAGUUCUACAGCUUACUCUGUGCCACCUCCAGUCUGACAUCCAGACUUACUGUCCCCUGUACCAUCUGCCUUCAGCCUUAUCCUCUGCUGCCAGCGAACCUGUGAGUGGGCCAGACAGGCCUUAUGCCAUUCCUUGGCACUAUACAAGACUGUUUCUGACCGUAAGAGAUCCUCGGAAGGUUUGGCUAUCCACUUGCAACCUGCCUCUACGUGGUGUUCCCAGGAAGCUUUCUCCCAGGUUCGUUGGCCCUUUUCCCGUUUCUAAAAUUAUUAACACAGUCUCUGUCCGUCUCUGCCUUCCUAAGGCCAUGUGCAGUCAUCCCAUGUUUCAUGGAAGCCAU
Long non-coding RNA from Thalassophryne amazonica, 491 nucleotides. RefSeq lists it as uncharacterized. The record is from RefSeq and is a predicted model, not a curated record. NCBI's taxonomy places the organism in Eukaryota, Metazoa, Chordata, Actinopteri, Batrachoidiformes, Batrachoididae. The transcript is spliced from 3 exons.